RNAcentral lists this ribosomal RNA (424 nucleotides) under uncultured cyanobacterium. RNAcentral describes it as "bacterial SSU rRNA". It matches the Rfam family "Bacterial small subunit ribosomal RNA", at positions 356 to 795 of the family's 1533-position model. Lineage: Bacteria; Bacillati; Cyanobacteriota. The record is from RNAcentral.
GGGGAAUUUUCCGCAAUGGGCGAAAGCCUGACGGAGCAAUACCGCGUGAGGGAGGAAGGCUUUUGGGUUGUAAACCUCUUUUCUUAAGGAAGAAGAUCUGACGGUACUUAAGGAAUCAGCAUCGGCUAACUCCGUGCCAGCAGCCGCGGUAAUACGGAGGAUGCAAGCGUUAUCCGGAAUUAUUGGGCGUAAAGCGUCCGCAGGUGGCCUUUCAAGUCUGCUGUCAAAGACCAGAGCUCAACUCUGGGCCGGCGGUGGAAACUGGGAGGCUAGAGUACGGUAGGGGUAGAGGGAAUUCCCAGUGUAGCGGUGAAAUGCGUAGAGAUUGGGAAGAACACCAGUGGCGAAGGCGCUCUACUGGACCGAAACUGACACUCAGGGACGAAAGCUAGGGGAGCGAAUGUUAUUAGAUACCCCUGUAGUC